Molecule: unclassified non-coding RNA, 430 nt
Filed under: soil metagenome
Description: partial contains 5.8S ribosomal RNA, internal transcribed spacer 2, and large subunit ribosomal RNA
Rfam family: 5.8S ribosomal RNA (bases 1-120)
Source: RNAcentral
GAUGAAGAACGUAGCGAAAUGCGAUACGUAAUGUGAAUUGCAGAAUUCAGUGAAUCAUCGAAUCUUUGAACGCAUAUUGCGCUCUCUGGUAUUCCGGAGAGCAUGCUUGUUUGAGUAUCAGUAAACACCUCAACUCCCUUUUCUUUUUUGAAAUUGGAUCUGGACUUGAGUGAUCCCAACGCUUUCUUCCAAGAAAGUGGCGGGUUGCUUGAAAUGCAGGUGCAGCUGAACUUUUCUCUGAGCUAUAAGCAUAUCUAUUUAGUCUGCCUAAAAAACAGAUUAUUACCUUUGCUGCAGCUAACAUAAAGGAGACUAGUUCUUGUGCUGACUGAUGCAGGAUUCACAGAGACAGCUUCGGCUGACUUUGUAAACUCGAUCUCAAAUCAAGUAAGACUACCCGCUGAACUUAAGCAUAUCAAUAAGCGGAGGA